UACGUAGGGUGCAAGCGUUGUCCGGAAUUAUUGGGCGUAAAGAGCUCGUAGGCGGUUUGUCGCGUCGAAUGUGAAAUCCCGGGGCUCAACCCCGGGUCUGCAUUCGAUACGGGCAGACUAGAGUUCGGUAGGGGAGUCUGGAAUUCCUGGUGUAGCGGUGAAAUGCGCAGAUAUCAGGAAGAACACCCGUGGCGAAGGCGGCUCUCUGGGACGGUACUGACGCUGAGACGCGAAAGCGUGGGGAGCGAACAGG
RNAcentral lists this ribosomal RNA (253 nucleotides) under uncultured bacterium. RNAcentral's name for it is "partial 16S ribosomal RNA". It matches the Rfam family "Bacterial small subunit ribosomal RNA", at positions 524 to 776 of the family's 1533-position model. The record is from RNAcentral.